GGAGUGGAUCCUGCGGCUUAAUUUGACUCAACACGGGAAACCUCACCCGGCCCGGACACGGACAGGAUUGACAGAUUGAUAGCUCUUUCUCGAUUCCGUGGGUGGUGGUGCAUGGCCGUUCUUAGUUGGUGGAGCGAUUUGUCUGGUUAAUUCCGAUAACGAACGAGACUCUGGCAUGCUAACUAGUUACGCGACCCCCGAGCGGUCGGCGUCCCCCAACUUCUUAGAGGGACAAGUGGCGUUCAGCCACCCGAGAUUGAGCAAUAACAGGUCUGUGAUGCCCUUAGAUGUCCGGGGCUGCACGCGCGCUACACUGACUGGCUCAGCGUGUGCCUACCCUACGCCGGCAGGCGCGGGUAACCCGUUGAACCCCAUUCGUGAUGGGGAUCGGGGAUUGCAAUUAUUCCCCAUGAACGAGGAAUUCCCAGUAAGUGCGGGUCAUAAGCUUGCGUUGAUUAAGUCCCUGCCCUUUGUACACACCGCCCGUCGCUACUACCGAUUGGAUGGUUUAGUGAGGCCC
Molecule: ribosomal RNA, 520 nt
Filed under: Bacillus thuringiensis
Lineage: Bacteria; Bacillati; Bacillota; Bacilli; Caryophanales; Bacillaceae
Description: SSU rRNA
Rfam family: Eukaryotic small subunit ribosomal RNA
Source: RNAcentral